Molecule: non-coding RNA, 203 nt
Organism: Paramuricea clavata
Lineage: Eukaryota; Metazoa; Cnidaria; Anthozoa; Malacalcyonacea; Plexauridae
Source: the annotation of a GenBank genome assembly
UGUUUAUGACGUCGACGUCAUAAACACCAAAUUUGAUCGUCUUUAUGACGUCGAAUAUCGACGUCAUAAACAUCUAAGUUGAUCGUGCUUAUGACGUGGAAUAUCGACGUCAUAACCACCUAAGUUGGUCGUGUUCAUGACGUCGAAUAUCGACGUAAUAAACACCAAAGUUGAUCCUGUUUAUGACGUCGACGUCAUAAAAA